RNAcentral lists this ribosomal RNA (440 nucleotides) under uncultured Janthinobacterium sp. RNAcentral's name for it is "bacterial SSU rRNA". It matches the Rfam family "Bacterial small subunit ribosomal RNA", at positions 358 to 790 of the family's 1533-position model. The record is from RNAcentral. Lineage: Bacteria; Pseudomonadati; Pseudomonadota; Betaproteobacteria; Burkholderiales; Oxalobacteraceae.
GGAAUUUUGGACAAUGGGCGAAAGCCUGAUCCAGCAAUGCCGCGUGAGUGAAGAAGGCCUUCGGGUUGUAAAGCUCUUUUGUCAGGGAAGAAACGGUGAGGGCUAAUAUCCUUCGCUAAUGACGGUACCUGAAGAAUAAGCACCGGCUAACUACGUGCCAGCAGCCGCGGUAAUACGUAGGGUGCAAGCGUUAAUCGGAAUUACUGGGCGUAAAGCGUGCGCAGGCGGUUUUGUAAGUCUGAUGUGAAAUCCCCGGGCUCAACCUGGGAAUUGCAUUGGAGACUGCAAGGCUAGAAUCUGGCAGAGGGGGGUAGAAUUCCACGUGUAGCAGUGAAAUGCGUAGAUAUGUGGAGGAACACCGAUGGCGAAGGCAGCCCCCUGGGUCAAGAUUGACGCUCAUGCACGAAAGCGUGGGGAGCAAACAGGAUUAGAUACCCUUG